CUGCUGCCUUCCGUAGGAGUUUGGGCCGUGUCUCAGUCCCAAUGUGGCCGGUCACCCUCUCAGGUCGGCUACUGAUCGUCGCCUUGGUGAGCCGUUACCUCUCCAACUAGCUAAUCAGACGCGGGUCCAUCUCAUACCACCGGAGUUUUUCACACCAAACCAUGCGGUCUUGUGCGCUUAUGCGGUUUUAGCAGUCAUUUCUAACUGUUAUCCCUCUGUAUGAGGCAGGUUACCCACGCGUUACUCACCCGUCCG
This 255-nucleotide ribosomal RNA is filed under the name uncultured bacterium. Its description in RNAcentral is "partial 16S ribosomal RNA". The record is from RNAcentral.